RNAcentral lists this ribosomal RNA (497 nucleotides) under uncultured bacterium. RNAcentral describes it as "partial 16S ribosomal RNA". It matches the Rfam family "Bacterial small subunit ribosomal RNA", at positions 28 to 507 of the family's 1533-position model. The record is from RNAcentral.
GAUGAACGCUGGCGGCGUGCCUAAUACAUGCAAGUCGAGCGAACAGACGAGGAGCUUGCUCCUCUGACGUUAGCGGCGGACGGGUGAGUAACACGUGGAUAACCUACCUAUAAGACUGGGAUAACUUCGGGAAACCGGAGCUAAUACCGGAUAAUAUAUUGAACCGCAUGGUUCAAUAGUGAAAGACGGUUUUGCUGUCACUUAUAGAUGGAUCCGCGCCGCAUUAGCUAGUUGGUAAGGUAACGGCUUACCAAGGCAACGAUGCGUAGCCGACCUGAGAGGGUGAUCGGCCACACUGGAUCUGAGACACGGUCCAGACUCCUACGGGAGGCAGCAGUAGGGAAUCUUCCGCAAUGGGCGAAAGCCUGACGGUGCAACGCCGCGUGAGUGAUGAAGGUCUUCGGAUCGGAGAACGCUGUUAGUAGGGAAGAACAAAUGUGUAAGUAACUAUGCACGUCUUGACGGUACCUAAUCAGAAAGCCACGGCUAACUACGUG